AACCAACUUCUGAAUCUAUCAUCUAUUCGGCACAAAUAAAUCACGUUUGAACUCUUUUCUGGACAUAAAGGACUGAGUGUGAUUUAGCCCGUGUCCACUGUAUAUGUUAUCGCUACGAUUGGAUUUUCGACAACGAUGAUUGGACUUUUCUGCAACACAAUUCUCAGGACUCUUUUCGACAUUCGGGACAUUCGAGACACAUGUUGCAUGUUUCAACAUACUUUGAAAUCCAAACGCCAUCUCUUCAGCUGAAAUAUACAGUUCGAAGGUCCUGUGACUUCAUAAUAUGUUCAAUUCAGGAACAGGCCCUCAAACUUGAUAAACAGCACCGACGUGAAUUGCGUAUUUGCUAAAUUUUCAAUCAUCUAUCUCCAUGUGAACAUUUCGACGCGUGCUUCAGAAGCAGACAGAUAUCGACAGAUAUGGAAACUGGCAAUAAGAUGAACCAUUCUUUCAUAUAUCACCAUUAACUGAGGAAAGCAUAACUAAGAAGGGCCUGAUAUCAAAAUCGUCUACAGAAUCCGCCAAAGCCAAAUAUCGUCCUGACUGAUUCGAACCUUGCAAAAGGUUUGUUGAUUGGUCUGUGACGUGCAGAAAGGCUUCAAGAUUAAAUGCAAACUUUGACGAUUUCUACUACCAAGAACACGAUAUGGAAUAACAUUGCUGAACACUUAUUUAUGAAUAAUGUAUAUUGGACCUGAAUCGACGAUUGCCUGAGGAAUUCUAUUGGAUCCUUUUUAUUGUGUGUGCAAGGAAAUAUUUGUUGGAUGGAUAUUCAAUCAUUUGGAUUAUAUUCCUGCCAGACUGAACCGGAGAAUGCUGAGACUGAACAACUAGAUGUCGGGAUCUCCGAGGGCAAAAUGUAAACGACAUUAACGCCUCGACGUGGAUUCAAACCCUACAUCGACAUCUGCAUGCUAUUAAAUAUGAAAAUGUUUACAUGUUCAUAAAUGGGUAAGUAUCAACAGGUAAGUACUGACAAAUUAAUGAUAAUUUCAUUGUCAAAAAGUAAAGUAAGGAAAUUAAGCAAAUUUCAUAUGUCGAAGUUAAUACCAAAAGCAGAGGCAAUACGGCCACAGAAGCUUUAUGGAUGUUUGUUGUAUAUCACGACUUGAAUGAUUAUAUAGAGAUAUAAAGAUAUAUAAUGAAUUAUUUGCAUAUAUUUAUAAACACUAGGGGACAGUUUGGUGAUCUGCUUAAAACUACUAUGAAGAGAUAAGUGAAGAGAUAAAAGGCUACAAAUUAGAAAGAAGUAUGAAAAGCAUAUAUUAAUUGGAAUGAAAAACAGGGCCAAAUAAUUAUAACCAAAUGGAAAGAAUAAUAAUGGGGGAGGGGGUGAGGAAAAAAUACCACAUCUGCUUAUAUUAUGACGUAUUCAUAAAAUUCAUAAGUAUUGGAAUGUUGUUCAAUCCUUUAGAUUACUGGAAGGGAAAGAGAACGACUGCCAGGGAUACAACUUGUAUAUAGGCUCAUACUAUGUGACAAACAUGGCCACCAGGCGACGAGCUGACGAACCGAGGCGAUGGGAUACGACAACGAUGUAGCGAAGAAGGUGACCUACAGAGCGACCACGACGGCUACCAGGUUACGACUAUGGUGAUGGUGAGCAAGCGAUUACGAGACUGAUGGCGACCACGGUAGUAACCAGCGAGGGAAGAAGGGCGGCGGCCAGGGUGACUACCAGGGUGAUGGCAACCAGAGCAACGAACAAGAUGACGGCAACGAUGAUCAUCAGGAUGGAGCCUACCAGGGCGACGGCAUGGACGGCAACCGGAUCUUUACCACGGUAAAGACGACCGAGCCGGGGCGACUACCAAGUGAUAGCUCCGGAGAUAUACAAGAUGAUACACCCUUUGUCUCUUCGCUGCUAAGAAGACGACGAGUGAACUGUAAUCUUAGAUGCUUCCCAGAGAUCACAAUUUAAGUCUGCAGAUGCAAACAUGAGCUACAAGCUAGAUGACAUCCAUGUCAAUGACAACUGCUCUUCACACAAAAAAUAUCAGGACUUCGACGCCCACGCACGAACAAGGGAGAAGCCAAAAAUGAAAUAAAUUUGAAAGAAAGCUUUGAAUCUUGCACAACCAAAAUAAUGUCAUAAACUGUUGCUUGAAAGAGGAUUCUGCAUUAGUUAUUUUCAAUGAUGUACAUCUACAAACAUUCGAGACAUUGGAGGCAGUUUUAAGUGAGAGAG
Long non-coding RNA from Strongylocentrotus purpuratus (purple sea urchin), 2191 nucleotides. RefSeq lists it as uncharacterized. The transcript has 5 exons. The record is from RefSeq and is a predicted model, not a curated record. Lineage: Eukaryota; Metazoa; Echinodermata; Echinoidea; Camarodonta; Strongylocentrotidae.